Molecule: ribosomal RNA, 301 nt
Filed under: uncultured bacterium
Lineage: Bacteria
Description: partial 16S ribosomal RNA
Rfam family: Bacterial small subunit ribosomal RNA
Source: RNAcentral
CAGUCGCCGCGGUAAUACGGAGGGAGCUAGCGUUGUUCGGAAUUACUGGGCGUAAAGCGCACGUAGGCGGCUUUGUAAGUUAGAGGUGAAAGCCUGGAGCUCAACUCCAGAACUGCCUUUAAGACUGCAUCGCUUGAAUCCAGGAGAGGUGAGUGGAAUUCCGAGUGUAGAGGUGAAAUUCGUAGAUAUUCGGAAGAACACCAGUGGCGAAGGCGGCUCACUGGACUGGUAUUGACGCUGAGGUGCGAAAGCGUGGGGAGCAAACAGGAUUAGAGACCCCUGUAGUCCCUGUCUCUUAUAC